GUUGACCUCAUUGUGAAAGGUGGAAACUAUGGCUGGAGAGCAAAGGAAGGGUUUGCAUGUUAUGACAAAAAACUUUGUCACAAUGCCUCUUUGGGGGGAAAACUUAGCCAUGUGGAUUUCCAGUCACUGCCUCAUAGAUGGAGGGAAUUUUUGGCUUCCUCUCUGCCUACAGAUAGCAGUUAAGUAGGAAGCUUGCAAAUAUUGUGGAUGGCCUAUUGAGAACAAUAAACAUGAUUCACUUGCUUGCCUGUCCUACUGAAGACCAAGAGAUGAUGUUCUGCCAAUCUAUGCUUAUGGCCGUGCAGUGGGGAAGUC
RNAcentral lists this small RNA (315 nucleotides) under Pongo abelii (Sumatran orangutan). RNAcentral's name for it is "processed transcript". Lineage: Eukaryota; Metazoa; Chordata; Mammalia; Primates; Hominidae. The record is from RNAcentral.